GCCAUUUCAAGAGCCACUAGCAGCACCGGGAAACACUAUCAAAAACCCUCUCUCAAUCCCCUCAUUUUCUCUCAAUCAAAAUCCCAUUUUCAAGAUUCAAGAAUCCGCUCAAAAUACUUGCGUUUUAUAAGCUUCUCUGUAAGAUCUUGAUUGAAAUCCCAAAAAAUCUGUUAUUGUAGCACACAAAGUGUUUACAAAUGGAUUCAACACCUUCUUCUUAUAGAUCAAAUCCUUAUUCUCAAACCAAAUCAGCUUCUCGUUUAGCCCGAAUCACCAAUUCCAUCGACAAUGAAGAACCACCACAUCUAUCUCUUGAUCUCAUACCCUCACCAGCAAAGAAGACUCCAUCAACACCUUUGAAUUUGUCUCUCAAAUCUUCCACCAAUUCUCUUCCUUUCCGCGAACUACUUCUCCUCUCACCAUCUCCUUCAAGAAAAUCAAGAACCCGCCUAGCUGAUCGCCUUGAGGUGGGCGAGGAGGCAGCUAUGGAGCCAACUGGGUCUCGCAAGAGAUGCAAAAGUAGGGCAGCUCAAUUAGGUGCUCUUGGUUGUGCUUCACCAAGGCAUAGCAGAAGGUCAAGGAGAAGGUCGGAGAUGGAGAGUAGAGAAGAGAAAGAUUUGAUAGGCAUGGUGGAGGAGAUUGGCAAGGUGCGAAAAAGAAGGCAUAGCGGCAGGUCUAAAAAGGAAAAGCUUUCUUUGGUCCCUUCAUUACCUUCUUCAAAUCCUUCUCCAAAAGUUGAUGAUGGUGAUGGAGGCAAUUUGGAUAGAAUUGGGAUGAUUAUUUAUGAUCUGAUAAUGUGGAAGGAUGUUGCAAAAUCGAGUCUUUGGUUUGGUUUGGGUUGUCUGUGUUUCCUGUCUUCUUGCUUUGCCAAAGGGAUUAGCUUCAGCAUUUUCUCUGCCGUUUCCCAACUGGGUCUCUUGUUUUUGGGUGCUUCUUUCAUCUCAAAUUCGAUAUGUCCAAGAAAUAAUGUUGAGAAGAGAUGUAACUUCAAGCUGAAAGAAGAGGACAUCUUAAAAAUGGGUAGAUUAAUACUACCACCUGCGAAUCUCGCAAUUUCAAAGACAAGAGAGCUUUUCUCAGGAGAGCCAUCCAUGACCCUCAAAGUCAUUCCAUUCUUGCUUCUUGGAGCUGAGUAUGGCCACCUUGUAACUCUGUGGAGACUUUGUGCAAUAGGUAAGACCACCAGAAUAAUUGCAGCCAUUGUCAAAUUGCUAACCUUUUAAGGCUGUGUACAUUUUUACCCUCCUUUUUUAUAUGUUGAAAUCUUUUAUCUAUGAAUGGGUGGAUGAGAAUAUAAUUGUUGGUUUGUGAAUUUGAGCAGGGUUUUUCAUUGGUUUCACUAUCCCCAAAUUAUAUUCAUGCUACUCCUAUCAAAUAAACCAGAAAGGUACAUGGAACCCGCAAGUAUAAUUCAAAUGUAAGGAGUUAUUGUUGCUUUAUUGGAAUUUAACUUGUUGAGGGUUACAGUUCAUUUCAUGAAAUGCCGGGUGAUGGAAGCAUGGGAAGCUUGUUCUCACAAGAAGAUUGUGGCAGCAUCGGCAGUCACAGCCUUCUGGAAUAUGUCCAGCAUCAAAACACGCAUUUUUGCUGGUAAUUUAUCAGGCCUGGAGAUUGUUUCAAUGAUAUCAAUUUCCAAACUCCAGGCCCUGCAAUACAUAAUUCUGCAGGACUUAGCUUAGUCCAUUCCCUUACAAAGCCAAUUAUUCAAUAGCACACAUGAAACUACCCACAAAUCUUGAUUCUUACAUGAGAUAUGGUAUUGUUUUGCAGCAUUUAUAUUUCUAGUGAUCCUACGUUGCUGCCGGCAACGUCUGGUACCAAAACAAGAAGGGGAAGAAGGAGAAGGAGCAGAAGAAGGAGAAGGGAAGGAACAAGAACCUCAGCAGUCAAAGGCAUUGGUGGCUGCAGAGGAAGUGACCGCCCAGAAAUAAUCAUAAAAGUGACACAUCUAUGUUCUUCAACACGAACAAAUAAAGGAGUGUUUGCAUUUCUUCUGCUUUGAGUUCUUGUUUUUUCCUUCAACUAUUAUUCUGAUCAGAAGUCCUUCCCAUCUGAGAU
RNAcentral lists this unclassified non-coding RNA (2058 nucleotides) under Hevea brasiliensis (rubber tree). The record is from RNAcentral. Lineage: Eukaryota; Viridiplantae; Streptophyta; Magnoliopsida; Malpighiales; Euphorbiaceae.